This 459-nucleotide ribosomal RNA is filed under the name uncultured bacterium. Its description in RNAcentral is "partial 16S ribosomal RNA". It matches the Rfam family "Bacterial small subunit ribosomal RNA", at positions 338 to 795 of the family's 1533-position model. The record is from RNAcentral.
CCUACGGGAGGCAGCAGUGAGGAAUAUUGGUCAAUGGCCGAGAGGCUGAACCAGCCAAGUCGCGUGAGGGAAGAAUGUCCUAUGGAUUGUAAACCUCUUUUGUCAGGGAGCAAAGUCACCCACGUGUGGGUGUUUGAGAGUACCUGAAGAAAAAGCAUCGGCUAACUCCGUGCCAGCAGCCGCGGUAAUACGGAGGAUGCGGGCGUUAUCCGGAUUUAUUGGGUUUAAAGGGUGCGUAGGCGGGUUCUCAAGUCAGCGGUAAAAUCGUGGAGCUCAACUCCAGCCAGCCGUUGAAACUGAUGUUCUUGAGUGGGCGAGAAGUAUGCGGAAUGCGUGGUGUAGCGGUGAAAUGCAUAGAUAUCACGCAGAACUCCGAUUGCGAAGGCAGCAUACCGGCGCCCGACUGACGCUGAAGCACGAAAGCGUGGGUAUCGAACAGGAUUAGAUACCCCAGUAGUC